UACGGAGGGUGCGAGCGUUGUCCGGAAUCAUUGGGCGUAAAGGGCGCGUAGGUGGCCCGGUCAGUUCGUGGUGAAAGCGCGGGGCUCAACCCUGCGUCGGCCAUGAAUACUGCCGCGGCUGGAGCACUGUAGAGGCAGGCGGAAUUCCGGGUGUAGCGGUGGAAUGCGUAGAGAUCCGGAAGAACACCGGUGGCGAAGGCGGCCUGCUGGGACAGUGCUGGACGCUGAGGCGCGACAGCGUGGGGAGCAAACAGG
RNAcentral lists this ribosomal RNA (255 nucleotides) under uncultured bacterium. RNAcentral's name for it is "partial 16S ribosomal RNA". It matches the Rfam family "Bacterial small subunit ribosomal RNA", at positions 524 to 776 of the family's 1533-position model. The record is from RNAcentral.